Molecule: long non-coding RNA, 259 nt
Filed under: Capsicum annuum
Lineage: Eukaryota; Viridiplantae; Streptophyta; Magnoliopsida; Solanales; Solanaceae
Description: long non-coding RNA (CANN_LNC015704)
Source: RNAcentral
UCCAUAGUACCUGAAAAUUCACUUACCAUUCCUAUACACCCCGCUUAGUUCAUAAACAUUAAUAAAGCAUGAAUAAUACAUCAUACGCCAUGGAAAAUUAAUUAAGCGAGUAAUCAUGUCAAAAUCCUCAAUUAUGCAAAAAUCCAUAGUCAAAACCAUGAAUUUAGAAAUCAAUUUUAUGCCAACAAUAAGGCACAAGUAUUGUGAGAGUGUCACAUGCAAGCUUCAUGUUCUAUCCCAUCCCAUGACUUAACCCCCA